This 215-nucleotide ribosomal RNA is filed under the name uncultured bacterium. RNAcentral describes it as "partial 16S ribosomal RNA". It matches the Rfam family "Bacterial small subunit ribosomal RNA", at positions 126 to 334 of the family's 1533-position model. The record is from RNAcentral.
CUGCCCCAUAGUCUGGGAUACCACUUGGAAACAGGUGCUAAUACCGGAUAAGAAAGCAGAUCGCAUGAUCAGCUUUUAAAAGGCGGCGUAAGCUGUCGCUAUGGGAUGGCCCCGCGGUGCAUUAGCUAGUUGGUAAGGUAAAGGCUUACCAAGGCGAUGAUGCAUAGCCGAGUUGAGAGACUGAUCGGCCACAUUGGGACUGAGACACGGCCCAA